This 460-nucleotide ribosomal RNA is filed under the name uncultured bacterium. Its description in RNAcentral is "partial 16S ribosomal RNA". It matches the Rfam family "Bacterial small subunit ribosomal RNA", at positions 338 to 795 of the family's 1533-position model. The record is from RNAcentral.
CCUACGGGCGGCAGCAGUGAGGAAUAUUGGUCAAUGGACGAGAGUCUGAACCAGCCAAGUAGCGUGAAGGAUGACUGCCCUAUGGGUUGUAAACUUCUUUUAUAUGGGAGUAAAAUGUUCCACGUGUGGGAUUUUGUAUGUACCAUAUGAAUAAGGAUCGGCUAACUCCGUGCCAGCAGCCGCGGUAAUACGGAGGAUCCGAGCGUUAUCCGGAUUUAUUGGGUUUAAAGGGAGCGUAGGUGGAUUGUUAAGUCAGUUGUGAAAGUUUGCGGCUCAACCGUAAAAUUGCAGUUGAAACUGGCAGUCUUGAGUACAGUAGAGGUGGGCGGAAUUCGUGGUGUAGCGGUGAAAUGCUUAGAGAUCACGAAGAACUCCGAUUGCGAAGGCAGUUCACUGGACUGCAACUGACACUGAGGCUCGAAAGUGUGGGUAUCAAACAGGAUUAGAUACCCUGGUAGUC